Molecule: ribosomal RNA, 450 nt
Filed under: uncultured bacterium
Lineage: Bacteria
Description: partial 16S ribosomal RNA
Rfam family: Bacterial small subunit ribosomal RNA
Source: RNAcentral
GUAGGGAAUCUUCCACAAUGGGCGCAAGCCUGAUGGAGCAACACCGCGUGAGUGAAGAAGGGUUUCGGCUCGUAAAGCUCUGUUGUUAGAGAAGAACGUGCGUGAGAGCAACUGUUCACGCAGUGACGGUAUCUAACCAGAAAGUCACGGCUAACUACGUGCCAGCAGCCGCGGUAAUACGUAGGUGGCAAGCGUUAUCCGGAUUUAUUGGGCGUAAAGCGAGCGCAGGCGGUUUGAUAAGUCUGAUGUGAAAGCCUUUGGCUUAACCAAAGAAGUGCAUCGGAAACUGUCAGACUUGAGUGCAGAAGAGGACAGUGGAACUCCAUGUGUAGCGGUGGAAUGCGUAGAUAUAUGGAAGAACACCAGUGGCGAAGGCGGCUGUCUGGUCUGCAACUGACGCUGAGGCUCGAAAGCAUGGGUAGCGAACAGGAUUAGAAACCCUGGUAGUCC